AGAUUGAACGCUGGCGGCAUGCCUUACACAUGCAAGUCGAACGCGAAAGCGGGGCAACCCGCAAGUAGAGUGGCGAACGGGUGAGUAAUGCAUCGGAACAUUUCCAGUAGCGGGGGAUAACCUGUCGAAAGAUAGGCUAAUACCGCAUACGACCUACGGGUGAAAGCGGAGGACCGCAAGGCUUCGCACUAUUGGAGUGGCCGAUGUCGGAUUAGCUAGUUGGCGGGGUAACGCCCACCAAGGCGACGAUCCGUAGCUGGUCUGAGAGGACGAUCAGCCACACUGGAACUGAGACACGGUCCAGACUCCUACGGGAGGCAGCAGUGGGAAUUUGGACAAUGGGCGCAAGCCUGAUCCAGCCAUGCCGCGUGAGUGAAGAAGGCCUUCGGGUUGUAAAGCUCGUUUCGGUGGGAAGAAAUAGUACGUGCUAAUACCACGGACUGAUGACGGUACCCGAAGAAGAAGACACCGGCUAACUACGUGACUAGCAGCCGCGUAAUC
RNAcentral lists this ribosomal RNA (501 nucleotides) under uncultured soil bacterium. RNAcentral describes it as "bacterial SSU rRNA". It matches the Rfam family "Bacterial small subunit ribosomal RNA", at positions 26 to 525 of the family's 1533-position model. The record is from RNAcentral.